GCUGCGUUGGAUUGGAUCGUGUGUCAGCAUUCUCAGCAGAUCUCAGAGGAAAAUCAUCCCAUUCACAAUGCCAGCCUUUGAUGCUGAAUAACUUUCCUACAUAAUGAUCGAGGGGGAGAAAACAAAGCAAAAAAAUAUAUAUAAUAAAAUAAAUAGAUUCAAAGCUUUUCAGUCAUGAAGCGCUGGGGAUAAUGACGGCACUUUCGGUGUUUUUAUUUUACGCUUUGAUGUAAACAGCAGAAUUCAGAAGCCAUUAUGUUGUGUUUUUUAGCCUCAGGAGAUCAUUUAUCUGUCUGUGUUUGAUUUUAAAGAGCCCGUGGCUGUGGAACACCAGAGAGUGCUGGUACAACUACCCCUAUCAGCCGUUAACAGUGGAUCUACAUUACUACUAUAUACUGGAGCUCUCUUUCUACCUGUCGCUGCUCUUCUCGCAGUUCACAGACAUCAGAAGAAAGGAUUUUGUGCUGAUGUUCGUGCAUCACGUGUCCACCAUCUCUCUGCUCAGUUUCUCCUAUGUGAAUAAUAUGGCUCGAGUGGGAACGCUGGUCUUAUGUCUGCACGACGCUGCCGACGUCCUGCUCGAGG
Non-coding RNA from Danio rerio (zebrafish), 585 nucleotides. NCBI's taxonomy places the organism in Eukaryota, Metazoa, Chordata, Actinopteri, Cypriniformes, Danionidae. The record is from RefSeq and is a predicted model, not a curated record.